Antechinus flavipes (yellow-footed antechinus) is the source of this 853-nucleotide long non-coding RNA. RefSeq lists it as uncharacterized. Lineage: Eukaryota; Metazoa; Chordata; Mammalia; Dasyuromorphia; Dasyuridae. The transcript is spliced from 4 exons. The record is from RefSeq and is a predicted model, not a curated record.
GGGAGAGAAGGCUGAGAGAAGCAGAGGCAACUGAGGCCUGAACUAGCAGCAUGUUGGAAAGAGUUGAGGAGGGCCUGGACAAGGACUGUGUUAAUGGAAAGAAGAGAAAUUAAGGGAGAGAUGAAGGGCUAGCAUCCAUGUGGUACAGACAUCAAAAUAAAACAGAAGAAGAAGUAAAGGAGGAAGAGAAAAAGAAGCAAGUAAAGGAAGGAGUGGAAGAAAAGAUAGAGAAGGAAGAGUUUAAAAAAGAAUUUGAAGGAAAGACAAAGGAGAAAGGGUUAGAAGAGGAGGAAAAAGAAGAGGAGGAGGGGAAGGAGGAGAAAGUGGGUGAGCAGGGAAAGGAGGGGAAAGAAAAAAAUCUGAAAGAGAAAAAAGAGGGAAAAGAGAACCAAAAAGAGAAGAUAAAAAUAAAAAAGGAGGAGAAAGAAGAAGAGAAAGGAGUAGAUGAUGAGAAAGUGGAGGAGAAACAAGAGGAAGAGGAAGAAGAAAAACAUUUUCUCCCCCUUUUCCUGUGUGGGGGAACAUUUUGAAAAGAACAAAGUUUGUCUUGGGUACCCUCAUUUCUUUGUCUCCAUGCCUCUAUUCUAUCUCUUAGCAUCCUAUUCCAACAAUUUCUCAUCAUACUGCAGCACACCUACAUUGGAUGUUUUGCAGUAAAAUUCAAGGUAAGGUCAAGGUCACAGAGACAAAUGAGGAAGUUUCUCCUGCAGCAAUGAAGUCCAUCAGCUGGUGCGGAUCAUCACACUCCAUUUACCACUGUACCCCUUUCCCUGCUAUUAGCAACAACAAUCCCCUUUUAAGAUCUGUUAACUUGAUUAAAAAGGGCUUGAUCAAGAGCCCUCCACCUAGAAAA